UACGUAGGGUGCAAGCGUUAAUCGGAAUUACUGGGCGUAAAGCGUGCGCAGGCGGUUUUGUAAGUUUGUCGUGAAAUCCCCGGGCUCAACCUGGGAAUUGCGAUGAAGACUGCAAGGCUAGAAUCUGGCAGAGGGGGGUAGAAUUCCACGUGUAGCAGUGAAAUGCGUAGAGAUGUGGAGGAACACCGAUGGCGAAGGCAGCCCCCUGGGUCAAGAUUGACGCUCAUGCACGAAAGCGUGGGGAGCGAACAGG
Molecule: ribosomal RNA, 253 nt
Filed under: uncultured bacterium
Lineage: Bacteria
Description: partial 16S ribosomal RNA
Rfam family: Bacterial small subunit ribosomal RNA
Source: RNAcentral